UUAUGUGAGGGCGAUCUGGCUGCAACAUCUGUCACCCCGUUGAUCACCAAGCUUUAUUAGGCGGAUCUGGCCGGCUAGACGGGUGUCCCCUUCCUCCCUCAACACUCCAUGUACGUCCCUCCCAAAGCUAAGCACUCAGUUGAAGGGGACGACCUUCCCUGAUAGAGGAGGACCACUCUUUGGUCAAGGGUAUUCGGGUAGCUGUCCUCCCCUGCUAGAACUUCCAAACAAGCUGUCAAGGUCCACUUGUAGGAGAACGCAGGGUAGUCAAGCUCCCAAGAUUCCUGACACAUCCAAACAAGGUGCUGCACGUGGCAGUCUGCCUUUU
Molecule: unclassified non-coding RNA, 328 nt
Organism: Ursus americanus (American black bear)
Lineage: Eukaryota; Metazoa; Chordata; Mammalia; Carnivora; Ursidae
Gene: 7SK
Rfam family: 7SK RNA
About the family: 7SK was discovered as an abundant small nuclear RNA in the mid-70s but a possible function has only recently been suggested. Two independent studies have found that 7SK RNA binds the CDK9/cyclin T complex (known as elongation factor P-TEFb). P-TEFb activates transcription by phosphorylating the C-terminal domain of RNA polymerase II.
Source: Ensembl